RNAcentral lists this long non-coding RNA (449 nucleotides) under Junco hyemalis (dark-eyed junco). Its description in RNAcentral is "lncRNA (ENSJHYG00000000662.1)". The record is from RNAcentral. Lineage: Eukaryota; Metazoa; Chordata; Aves; Passeriformes; Passerellidae.
CUAGCUAUAGCAGCAAUACUGGUUUCUGCCAAGGCAAGGUACUUGCAAAACCAUGUCUGAGGCUGGAGGAUGGAAGGAAGGCAGCAGGUACAGGACAGCUACUGCCUUCAAUAUGCCAUCUUCCUCUCAGGGUAACCCUCAUGGCAACAAGGAAACAGAGAAGGUUGAAAACACCCAGAAGCUGGCAGCGUCUGAAGAGAAACAAGGAGGCCAAGCAUCAGCGCACCAACAACAGCAAAAGCAGUAUUGCUAAGAAAGAGCUCGAUGACCUGGAGCAAUGGAAGAAAGAACACAGGCCGGGGCCAAUUACGUUGGUGCCACAGAGACUGGGUGGAAAUGAAUCAGAGGCUCAAGUACGACAAAACCAACAAAUGAUUCUCCUGCAAUCUAAAUACCAGAAAAAGGUCAGUAAGAAUAAAUGUAUUUGUUUAUUUUUAGAACUCAAAAGA